UAGAAUGUAGUGUAAUGGUAGCACAGAGAAAUUUGAGUUCUUUAGAGUAGGUUUGAGUCCUAGGAUUCUAG
Molecule: transfer RNA, 71 nt
Filed under: Cavia porcellus (domestic guinea pig)
Lineage: Eukaryota; Metazoa; Chordata; Mammalia; Rodentia; Caviidae
Rfam family: tRNA
About the family: Transfer RNA (tRNA) molecules are approximately 80 nucleotides in length. Their secondary structure includes four short double-helical elements and three loops (D, anti-codon, and T loops).
Source: Rfam by way of RNAcentral